UACAGACUGAAGUGGUCGAGCAGUCAGUGUGGGUGUGAUAUAACGAACAGUGCAGGAGAGAGAUGAGAGUUAGACAUCAUUCAACAGCCAUCAGAGAGAAAGGCAAGAGGGAAAAGUCUGAAGGAGGAUACAUAUACGAAACAGCGCUGUAAGGAGACUGCAAACCCUGGAGAGGAGCUGGAGAGAAGCACCGAUCAUCCUGAGUGAAAUGCAAAAGCGCUGACAAUGGGUUUCACAGCAUUGCAUAUACUCUGCCUUGUACCUGCAUUUACUUUGACAACACAAGAGUUGGUGGGACUGAGUGUGAGUCCCAGGAUUACUGCAGAUUGUGGCAAACAGGUUACUCUGCAGUGCAAAGUGUCCUCAACUCAAAACGGACUAUCAAUCAAACAUUUAGAGUGGUCCACCACCCAAACGUCUUUAUGCGCUGUGAACAGUGAGGGACAGAUUACACACAACAGAAGUCUAUUUAGUGACUUCCAUUGUGAGUAUGAAGAAGGACAAUUGUCCCUCAUCUUUCAAAAAGCGCAGCCACUGAAGUACCUGUGCAAACUUCGAUCCAACAAGGGGAUCCAUUAUAAAUAUACAACUGUGGAGUUACAAGAGUGUGGUCAGAUCACCGAGGCUGUUUUGACAAGUAAGGGUCCUGCUUGCACCUUCAACGAUGUGUACCCAGACGGUGACGUGCACUGGUUUCACGGCUCUCACAAUCUCUCGGCUGGGUCUACGGAGACCUCCACGGCUAAAAGUGUGGAUGAAGGGGGUCGGCUAAUUAUCCAUAGUUACCUGAAGGAGGGGAAAAGUUCAGAUGUGCCCUACAAUUGCUCCUUGAGGAGCAGCAAAUCUGGUAGAUACAUUGCGAGUGCUUUGGUUGAGAUACCUGAAGACCUGGUCUGGCGUGGAAAAUCUGGAUCUACUUACUCACCUGCCAGUGGAGUCAGGUCACAGGAAACUAUGGGGACACUUUUGUAUAUUUCAGUCUUACUGGCUGUCACGCUGAAAUAAUGAAUUUGCUGAAUUAAAUCCACAUCAUGGGGUGUGAUAAAAUAUCAAGGUGAAGGGAUGCUUAACACUGAUUAAGAACAAUGAGUAAAAUUUAGGUACUGAGAUUUAUGUAUUCUUUUGAAACCCAGGGCAAAGCACUCUCAGUUAAGUAAGUCAUCUUGCGUGGUCCAAAGGUGAAUUAUUCUUCCUUUUAGCACUUGGCUGAAGUGAACAAGGAAAUUACAGACUGCUGAGAGGUGAUAACGAGGGAGUCGAUAAUCAUUACACUGUAUAAAAUACCUUUGUUGUUUUGUUUCGAUGGAGGGUCACAGAUGAGGGAGCAGAGCACAUCGGUUUCAUUAUACUCUUUCAGAAAACAACAAAGACACACAUAGAAACACACACACACACACACACACUUUCAUACAACUGCAAACACUCAGGGAGUUCUUUUGGCUCCUGGUUGCAUUUAGUCUUGAGCUACACACAUUCUGGCCUCGGAUUAUUUUCAGGGGUGUAUAUUUAUUUCUGAAAGAGUGCGAUGAAAAUAUCAGCUGACAGGUGUGUCCACCAUGUGUCUACAGCACAGCUGUCUGAGUGUGUGUGACCGUGAGCACCAUGAAAAUAACAUCUUGAACACAAUACAGGCUUGAAAAGAUGGGCUCUGCUGCAAAUUCCCUUCAGAACCAGUGAAGUUUUUGUGUGAGAAAUAUCAGAAAGCUGAGCACAGGAAACCUCAGUCAUGCAACGACUCUAGUGUUUGUGGUUGGAUGCUGCCCUCUGGUGAACUAGUUGAGAUCAGUGAAACAUGAGGCUGUGGUUGCCGUACACCUUAAGGGAGGGCAUUGGUUUGUUGUGCUCACCGAAUGCAAAGAUGAUAUUUAAAAGCAACAACAGUCGACAGUUUUCACAGGGACUACUUUUCUCUAGAAAGUAGUUCAAAUGAAACCUGUCCACAGUGAGGUGGAUUAUCCAGUGACACGUAGUGAAAAAAAAAAUCAAGCCAGUGCAUAGAGAGGUUAGUUAUCAGAAAUCUGCAAAACUUUAUAUUUUGUUCCUUUUAAUCUGAAAUCUGACCAGGAGUCAGUGUCCUUGGUACAGCAGACACAAGUAAGAAGGGAGCUACAGAUCAUUUCACCUGCUUUGCAUCUUCAACUUGCCCGUCCGUCUCUCACUUCUCAAGUCUUUGCAGCUGUAGCUCGAAGCUAGAGGACAAACUCAGCUCCAAGGCUAAAACUCUGCCUGUUUUUAACAGCUCAGUGCACCCUCUUUGGACAUCUGAGAGCCUUUUCAAGUCAGAAAGACUCUCUGCUAAUGGUGUCACUAAAUCGGCGCUACACAGGGACAGGUUGAGCUUUUAGCAGGACGUUGCUGCGGCUGAGAGCCCGCUGGGUAAAUGAAAACAGGGUCACCUUGACUAUUCAACGCGCACACACACGCACACGCACACGCACGCACACACACACACACACACACACACACACACACACACACACACACACACACACACACACACACACACACACACACACACACACACACACACACACACACACACACACACACACACACAAACACAGAGUUAAAUAUUUGUGUUGUGGAAUAAUGAUGUUUCAAAUGUGCCGUUUAGAGAAAUAUUGCUUUUGGCUUUUUUUUUCUAAAUAUCACUCCUGACAAAAUGAAAUACACUCCACUUAUUCCUCUUUGGCAGUGCAAAAUUAAAGCUAUUUAAAUAAAUGGCCAUAAAUUACAAUAAUAAAUCACAAUGAUUUGUUUUAAAGGGUGCUGUUUGCUUAUCUAUUGCAUUAUGAUACAAUGUGAACACUGCUUGUUUUUGUGUGUACAGUCUUUUUCCCUGUUGAAUGUAAAAAAGUUUUUUAUUUUUUUAAACAAGAAAUUUCAAUCAAUAAGUCGUGGCUUUGCUGAAAAUUGCUCAUCUUCAGAAGAUUUAACAGCUUUUUUGUUUGCUAUUGUUUCUAUAUUUGGGAUUUUCAUUUUCACUGAUGUUGAUGUUUACAACAAAAUCCUAUAACAAUUGCUGGAGGUUUUCAGAUAAUAAAGAAAUUAGUCAAUAGAAAAUGAUUUGCUGGUUGUUUUCUCUACGACAAUAACAGACUGGAGGCAAUAGUUUAAUCAUGUAUAUGAAUGUAUGGUGCAUUCAAAAGGAGGCAGCAUGCUCA
Seriola aureovittata is the source of this 3164-nucleotide RNA transcript. RefSeq lists it as uncharacterized. The record is from RefSeq and is a predicted model, not a curated record. NCBI's taxonomy places the organism in Eukaryota, Metazoa, Chordata, Actinopteri, Carangiformes, Carangidae. The transcript has 5 exons.